UGUGGGAGCUGGCUUGCCUGCGAUAGCGGUGCAUCAGUCAGGACUUUUCUUCUGACAGACAGCCAUCGCAGGCAAGCCAGCUCCCACA
Molecule: non-coding RNA, 88 nt
Filed under: Pseudomonas tolaasii NCPPB 2192
Lineage: Bacteria; Pseudomonadati; Pseudomonadota; Gammaproteobacteria; Pseudomonadales; Pseudomonadaceae
Source: RNAcentral